CACACCCAGAACUUCAUUUACGCCAAAAAAAAGCCUCUUUUUUCCACAGAACAUCUUUUUUUUAUUAUUAUUUUUUAUUUUUUUCCCAGCGUGGUUGCUCGAGAGAAGGAUGGGAAGGAGAUCUCGCAGUAUAAAAAGAAGAUUUUGGUCCAGAUGAAAAACUCCAGAAAUUGAAAGAAGAAUUCGCGUUCAGCUGAGUAAGAAUAGAACAGGAAACUACAAAUGUCACCGGAUUGUACCAUGAAAAGCGAUGCUGUGCCAAACCCGAGCCCUUCCCCGAGUGAUUCUCCUGGAAUAUUCCUCUUGUGCCAAGAAAUGACACGGUGUCCUUCCAUCUCUCCAGGACCUGUCUGCUCCUCUGCCAGGAGACACGGCGGGGAAAACUCCGAGAAAAUAAUUAGUUAGGCAUAUUCAAGGAGAUUUGAUGAUAAGGCCGAAGGAAAAUACAGGCGUGGAUUUGAUUUCUUAUUUUUAUUUUUAUAUUUUUUUCUUUUAUUCUACUUUUUCCGUGGAGGAUUUCAAACACCCGAUGGUUUUACAGAGAGCAGAAAGUCUUUAAGUUGUUAUGGCAAAGCAGGAGGAGCUGGCAGCCAUGAAAAGGAAGUUGCAUGUCAUAUUAAAAGUGAGCUAGAACUGUCUGGGGUAUUAAUAGACAAACAGAACGAGAGAAAACAGCAUACAAAACAUUACCCGGAAAAAAAGGAAAAAAAAAAAAAAAGAGUUCUCAAAGCAAAAGCAGAACUUUUGAAGAGUUAGAUCCUCAAUUUGUGGCCAUACCUAAGAAAAGGCAAAGCAAAUCAGUGAACUAAUUGAUCCUAGAAGCAAACUGAGCCCUUGUUAGGGACUUCAAGCUUGCAAAAGAGGGUGGAGGGAAGUCAGGCAAGAAUAAUUAGAAGGAAGAAACCCUUCCCCUCUCAGAAAAUCUCACAUCGGGUCUGAGGUGGAAAUCAUAAAAGAAACUCUGCUUCCACUUCAGGAAACAGAAACAUGAUUUUGUUCACUAAGAUUAAGAUCUGGACUCAUUUCUGUAGGUACUGAGGCUUUACUACCCCUAGCAAAGAUAAAAAAACAACCUCAUAAGUAGUGUGCUACAGGUUGAACUGAUGUAAUUCUUUACAUUCAACAGAAAAAACUUCUAUUUGCUGGAAGGAAACAGGAGAGACAGCAAGCUGUGGUUUACAUGUGCAGCAUCUCAAAUUAUCAGUGAUGUCCUGAUCUAAAGUCACAGCUGCACAGAAGUGUAAAUUCCCAGCCUGGAAAUGUGCUCAGGACACCCAGACCCCACCAGGAAGGGGCAACAAUGGAGCCCCAGCCAGCAGAACAAUCACUUAAAAAUAAAAUUUGCAGGUUUAUUUUGCCCCA
Long non-coding RNA from Parus major (Great Tit), 1362 nucleotides. NCBI's taxonomy places the organism in Eukaryota, Metazoa, Chordata, Aves, Passeriformes, Paridae. The record is from Ensembl.